UUGUGGAGGAGGACGCCGAAGGUGGGGCUAAUGACUGGGGUGAAGUCGUAACAAGGUAGCCGUACCGGAAGGUGCGGCUGGAUCACCUCCUAACAGGGAGACAACAAAAUGUUUAAUAUUAUUAUUUUGUCACCUUAGGUCGAUCGGUAUCUCACGUUCUUAAUUAAUUAAGGAUUUCAAUUUCUAAGUUUUUCUAGGUCACACCCAUUAUUUUUCCUGGGCCAUUAGCUCAGGUGGUUAGAGCGCACCCCUGAUAAGGGUGAGGUCCCUGGUUCAAGUCCAGGAUGGCCCAUAUCUCUAUGUUGGGGGUAUAGCUCAGUUGGUAGAGCGCCUGCUUUGCAAGCAGGAUGUCAGCGGUUCGAGUCCGCUUACCUCCACUGAUUACCACCUCUUCCAUAAUUUGUAUAAGGGAAAUGUUUUGAGUUGUGAUCAAAUUCUGAACGAAUCUAGCUUCCUAAUGAAAGCAUUAAGAUGCUGGACUCAUUGAAUUAAUUUCAUUGUUUUCAGAGAACCUUGACAACUGCAUAGAUUAUUUUUUAAAGACAAUAAGCAUCUUUAAUGAUGCAGAUUUAUUAUUUGUGCGAAUGCAUUAAUAACAAUUCUAUUAAGCUGAUGCUUCAAUUUUGAAGUUAUUGGUCAAGCUACAA
This 647-nucleotide unclassified non-coding RNA is filed under the name uncultured Prochlorococcus sp. RNAcentral describes it as "partial 16S-23S ribosomal RNA intergenic spacer; may also contain 16S ribosomal RNA and 23S ribosomal RNA". The stretch from base 305 to 377 matches the Rfam family "tRNA". The record is from RNAcentral. Lineage: Bacteria; Bacillati; Cyanobacteriota; Cyanophyceae; Synechococcales; Prochlorococcaceae.